GGUGGCUCAGUGGUAGAGCACUUGCUUUGCAUGCAAGAGGCCCUGGGUUCGAUUCCUCAGCACCA
Molecule: transfer RNA, 65 nt
Filed under: Dipodomys ordii (Ord's kangaroo rat)
Lineage: Eukaryota; Metazoa; Chordata; Mammalia; Rodentia; Heteromyidae
Rfam family: tRNA
About the family: Transfer RNA (tRNA) molecules are approximately 80 nucleotides in length. Their secondary structure includes four short double-helical elements and three loops (D, anti-codon, and T loops).
Source: Rfam by way of RNAcentral